UACAGAGGUCCCAAGCGUUGUUCGGAUUCACUGGGCGUAAAGGGUGCGUAGGUGGUGAGGUAAGUCGGAUGUGAAAUCUCCGAGCUCAACUCGGAAAUGGCAUUGGAAACUACCUUGCUCGAGGGUUGGAGGGGGGACUGGAAUGCUUGGUGUAGCAGUGAAAUGCGUAGAUAUCAAGCGGAACACCAGUGGCGAAGGCGAGUCCCUGGACAACUCCUGACACUGAGGCACGAAGGUCAGGGGAGCAAACGGG
This 253-nucleotide ribosomal RNA is filed under the name uncultured bacterium. Its description in RNAcentral is "partial 16S ribosomal RNA". It matches the Rfam family "Bacterial small subunit ribosomal RNA", at positions 524 to 776 of the family's 1533-position model. The record is from RNAcentral.